GAACGCUGGCGGCGUGCUUAACACAUGCAAGUCGAACGAUGAAGCCCUUCGGGGUGGAUUAGUGGCGAACGGGUGAGUAACACGUGGGCAAUCUGCCCUUCACUCUGGGACAAGCCCUGGAAACGGGGUCUAAUACCGGAUACGACCUGCCGAGGCAUCUUGGCGGGUGGAAAGCUCCGGCGGUGAAGGAUGAGCCCGCGGCCUAUCAGCUUGUUGGUGAGGUAACGGCUCACCAAGGCGACGACGGGUAGCCGGCCUGAGAGGGCGACCGGCCACACUGGGACUGAGACACGGCCCAGACUCCUACGGGAGGCAGCAGUGGGGAAUAUUGCACAAUGGGCGAAAGCCUGAUGCAGCGACGCCGCGUGAGGGAUGACGGCCUUCGGGUUGUAAACCUCUUUCAGCAGGGAAGAAGCGAAAGUGACGGUACCUGCAGAAGAAGCGCCGGCUAACUACGUGCCAGCAGCCGCGGUAAUACGUAGGGCGCAAGCGUUGUCCGGAAUUAUUGGGCGUAAAGAGCUCGUAGGCGG
This 530-nucleotide ribosomal RNA is filed under the name Streptomyces viridobrunneus. RNAcentral describes it as "bacterial SSU rRNA". It matches the Rfam family "Bacterial small subunit ribosomal RNA", at positions 31 to 578 of the family's 1533-position model. Lineage: Bacteria; Bacillati; Actinomycetota; Actinomycetes; Kitasatosporales; Streptomycetaceae. The record is from RNAcentral.